GAUGAACGCUGGCGGCGUGCCUAAUACAUGCAAGUCGAGCGAACAGAUAAGGAGCUUGCUCCUUUGACGUUAGCGGCGGACGGGUGAGUAACACGUGGGUAACCUACCUAUAAGACUGGAAUAACUCCGGGAAACCGGGGCUAAUGCCGGAUAACAUUUAGAACCGCAUGGUUCUAAAGUGAAAGAUGGUUUUGCUAUCACUUAUAGAUGGACCCGCGCCGUAUUAGCUAGUUGGUAAGGUAACGGCUUACCAAGGCAACGAUACGUAGCCGACCUGAGAGGGUGAUCGGCCACACUGGAACUGAGACACGGUCCAGACUCCUACGGGAGGCAGCAGUAGGGAAUCUUCCGCAAUGGGCGAAAGCCUGACGGAGCAACGCCGCGUGAGUGAUGAAGGUCUUCGGAUCGUAAAACUCUGUUAUUAGGGAAGAACAAAUGUGUAAGUAACUGUGCACGUCUUGACGGUACCUAAUCAGAAAGCCACGGCUAACUAC
This 494-nucleotide ribosomal RNA is filed under the name uncultured bacterium. Its description in RNAcentral is "partial 16S ribosomal RNA". It matches the Rfam family "Bacterial small subunit ribosomal RNA", at positions 28 to 504 of the family's 1533-position model. The record is from RNAcentral.